This 831-nucleotide ribosomal RNA is filed under the name uncultured Halomonas sp. RNAcentral's name for it is "bacterial SSU rRNA". It matches the Rfam family "Bacterial small subunit ribosomal RNA", at positions 38 to 846 of the family's 1533-position model. The record is from RNAcentral. Lineage: Bacteria; Pseudomonadati; Pseudomonadota; Gammaproteobacteria; Oceanospirillales; Halomonadaceae.
GGCGGCAGGCUUAACACAUGCAAGUCGAGCGGUAACAGGGGAAGCUUGCUUCCUGCUGACGAGCGGCGGACGGGUGAGUAAUGCAUAGGAAUCUGCCCGGUAGUGGGGGAUAACCUGGGGAAACCCAGGCUAAUACCGCAUACGUCCUACGGGAGAAAGCGGGGGCUUCGUGUUCUUCGGAAUGGGGACCUCGCGCUAUCGGAUGAGCCUAUGUCGGAUUAGCUAGUUGGUGAGGUAACGGCCCACCAAGGCGACGAUCCGUAGCUGGUCUGAGAGGAUGAUCAGCCACAUCGGGACUGAGACACGGCCCGAACUCCUACGGGAGGCAGCAGUGGGGAAUAUUGGACAAUGGGCGCAAGCCUGAUCCAGCCAUGCCGCGUGUGUGAAGAAGGCUUUCGGGUUGUAAAGCACUUUCAGUGGGGAAGAAGGCCUGACGGCCAAUACCCGUCAGGAGCGACAUCACCCACAGAAGAAGCACCGGCUAACUCCGUGCCAGCAGCCGCGGUAAUACGGAGGGUGCGAGCGUUAAUCGGAAUGACUGGGCGUAAAGCGCGCGUAGGCGGCCAAAUCAGCCGGUUGUGAAAGCCCCGGGCUCAACCUGGGAACGGCAUCCGGAACUGUUUGGCUAGAGUGCAGGAGAGGAAGGUAGAAUUCCCGGUGUAGCGGUGAAAUGCGUAGAGAUCGGGAGGAAUACCAGUGGCGAAGGCGGCCUUCUGGACUGACACUGACGCUGAGGUGCGAAAGCGUGGGUAGCAAACAGGAUUAGAUACCCUGGUAGUCCACGCCGUAAACGAUGUCGACUAGCCGUUGGGUGCCUCGAGCACUUUGUGG